Molecule: transfer RNA, 72 nt
Filed under: Cetomimus sp. AMS I34481001
Lineage: Eukaryota; Metazoa; Chordata; Actinopteri; Beryciformes; Cetomimidae
Description: tRNA-Trp
Rfam family: tRNA
About the family: Transfer RNA (tRNA) molecules are approximately 80 nucleotides in length. Their secondary structure includes four short double-helical elements and three loops (D, anti-codon, and T loops). Further hydrogen bonds mediate the characteristic L-shaped molecular structure. tRNAs have two regions of fundamental functional importance: the anti-codon, which is responsible for specific mRNA codon recognition, and the 3' end, to which the tRNAs corresponding amino acid is attached (by aminoacyl-tRNA synthetases). tRNAs cope with the degeneracy of the genetic code in two manners: having more than one tRNA (with a specific anti-codon) for a particular amino acid; and 'wobble' base-pairing, i.e. permitting non-standard base-pairing at the 3rd anti-codon position.
Source: RNAcentral
AGAGGCUUAGGCUAGAAAUUAAACCAAGGGCCUUCAAAGCCCUAAUCGGGAGUGAAAACCUCCCAGCCCCUG